RNAcentral lists this ribosomal RNA (688 nucleotides) under Pycnococcus provasolii. RNAcentral describes it as "SSU rRNA". It matches the Rfam family "Eukaryotic small subunit ribosomal RNA", at positions 626 to 1318 of the family's 1831-position model. The record is from RNAcentral. Lineage: Eukaryota; Viridiplantae; Chlorophyta; Pseudoscourfieldiophyceae; Pseudoscourfieldiales; Pycnococcaceae.
GCUCGUAGUUGGAUUUCGGGCGUGGAGGUUCGGUCCGCCGUUUCGGUGUGCACUGUCUUUCUGCGUCUUUCUGUCGGGGACGCGCUUCUGGCCUUAAUUGGCUGGGACGUGGAUUCGACGAGGUUACUUUGAAAAAAUUAGAGUGUUCAAAGCAAGCUAAAGCUCUGAAUACAUUAGCAUGGAAUAACGCGAGAGGACUCGGUCCUUAUUUUGUUGGUCUUCAAGGAUGGAGUAAUGAUUAAGAGGGACAGUUGGGGGCAUUCGUAUUUCAUUGCUAGAGGUGAAAUUCUUGGAUUUAUGAAAGACGAACUUCUGCGAAAGCAUUUGCCAAGGAUGUUUUCAUUGAUCAAGAACGAAAGUUGGGGGCUCGAAGAUGAUCAGAUACCAUCCUAGUCUCAACCAUAAACGAUGCCGACUAGGGAUUGGCAGGUGUUACAUCGAUGACUCUGCCAGCACCUUAUGAGAAAUCAAAGUUUUUGGGUUCCGGGGGGAGUAUGGUCGCAAGGCUGAAACUUAAAGGAAUUGACGGAAGGGCACCACCAGGAGUGGAGCCUGCGGCUUAAUUUGACUCAACACGGGGAAACUUACCAGGUCCAGACAUAGUAAGGAUUGACAGAUUGAGAGCUCUUUCUUGAUUCUAUGGGUGGUGGUGCAUGGCCGUUCUUAGUUGGUGGAGUGAUUUGUCUGG